GCUAGAAAAGCUUAUAUAGUGGUAGUCUUGUAAACUAACGAUAGAGACUUUUGUUUCUUCUAGUA
This 65-nucleotide transfer RNA is filed under the name Nuttallochiton mirandus. RNAcentral's name for it is "tRNA-Thr". The record is from RNAcentral. Lineage: Eukaryota; Metazoa; Mollusca; Polyplacophora; Chitonida; Mopaliidae.